RNAcentral lists this small nuclear RNA (319 nucleotides) under Myotis brandtii (Brandt's bat). Its description in RNAcentral is "7SK RNA". It matches the Rfam family "7SK RNA". Rfam says of the family: 7SK was discovered as an abundant small nuclear RNA in the mid-70s but a possible function has only recently been suggested. The record is from Rfam by way of RNAcentral. Lineage: Eukaryota; Metazoa; Chordata; Mammalia; Chiroptera; Vespertilionidae.
AGUUGUGAGGGCAAUCUGGCUGCAUCUGUCACCCCACUGAGGCCAGGGUUGAUUCAGUUGGCUAGGCGGGUGUCCCCUUCCUCCCUCACCCCUCCAUGUGCUUCCCUCCCGAAGCGUCAUGCUCUGUGGAAGAGAACAACCUUCCCCUCUUCCUCCUCCUCCUCCGCCCAGGAGAGGGCCAGUCUUCGGUCAAGGGCUCCCCUGCUAGAACCUCCAAACAAGCUCUCAAGGCCCCUUUGUAGGAGAACGUAGGGUAGUCAAGCUUCUAAGACUCCAGACACAUCCACACGAGAGGCUGCAUGUGGAAGUCUGCAUUUCU